AUUUGUUUAACUAUGGCAAUAAGAAGUUUUGCUUACUUAGUUGCAUAAAUUCAUUGUAGGAAGGUUUAUAGAGGGAGCACGCCUUAUGUUAUUAGCAAUUAAUCUUUUAUUUGAGCUUACGCUUUGUAAGAAGGGAGUGAAAGAAGGGGAUAGGACACAGUGCCAGCAUCCGCGGUUAAUCUGUUAUCUUUGCUUUUUCUUGAAUAAUAGUUAACAAUUUAGGAGCAAGGCUAGGUGAAAUUUUCUUGCAGGCUAUCUUGAUUGUUGUAUUGAGAGAAUUUACCAAGUAAUGACAGGGAUUAGAAACCCCAUUAAUUGGUAAACUAUUUUAUUUUAGUUUCAUAACUAAAAUAGUUUGGCAGUGAGUUACUCCUAUCGGGGGAAGGUGUGUUGUAAAGGACGAUCCGCCUAUUAAUUUACCUGUGCUAUGCUGGUGUAUAUCUGGUUAGAUAUUAUUGCUUAAUAGCUUAAUUUGUGUAGGUUUAAAAUUUAAGCCAAGUCUAUGUGCUGCAUGCACAGGAUUUCAUGCGUUACUAUUAUGUAAAAGCUUUAGUGUGAGAUAAAGCUAAAUUAGGGACUCGAAAGUAAUGGUGGUUUAGUUAGUCGCUGUGAAAAGGGUUUAACUCAGGUACACACCGCCCGUCACCCUCGACGUAUGUUGAGGUAAGUCGUAACAUGGUAACUCUAGAUGAAUUUGGGGUUAAUUGCUCUUUA
RNAcentral lists this non-coding RNA (714 nucleotides) under Anthocephalum cf. caira DJM-2021. Lineage: Eukaryota; Metazoa; Platyhelminthes; Cestoda; Rhinebothriidea; Anthocephaliidae. The record is from RNAcentral.